CUACACGAAGCGCCGCUGGGUCUGGGUGCCCGGAGGCAGCAGCGUUCGCGGAGUUCGCCCGCUGGCCCCCGAUCGCCAUGUCGGCUUUCGACACCAACCCCUUCGCGGACCCAGUGGAUGUAAACCCCUUCCAGGAUCCCUCUGUGACCCAGCUGACCAACGUCCCGCAGGGCGGCCUGGCGGAAUUCAACCCCUUCUCAGAGACAAAUGCAGCGACAACAGUUCCUGUCACCCAACUCCCUGGGUCCUCACAGCCAGCGGUUCUCCAGCCAUCAGUGGAACCAACCCAGCCGACCCCCCAGGCCGUGGUGUCUGCAGCCCAGGCAGGCCUGCUCCGGCAGCAGGAAGAACUGGACAGGAAAGCUGCCGAGCUGGAACGCAAGGAGCGGGAGCUGCAGAACACUGUAGCCAACUUGCAUGGUAAGGGAGGCUGCUGGGGCCUGGGGCUGCCCUGCCUGGCAUAGAAGAGUGUCCUGAAACCUGUGCGGAGGGCCUCCCAGCAUUCACCCUGAGCUGCCUUAGAGUUUUGUGGGGCUCUUCUCAUCACAGGACGCUGGUCCUGGGAAGAGCAGUAAGUUGCAAGUC
Molecule: small RNA, 585 nt
Filed under: Pan troglodytes (chimpanzee)
Lineage: Eukaryota; Metazoa; Chordata; Mammalia; Primates; Hominidae
Description: retained intron
Source: RNAcentral